RNAcentral lists this ribosomal RNA (445 nucleotides) under uncultured bacterium. RNAcentral's name for it is "bacterial SSU rRNA". It matches the Rfam family "Bacterial small subunit ribosomal RNA", at positions 771 to 1210 of the family's 1533-position model. The record is from RNAcentral.
AGCCAAUAGAUACCCGGGUAGUCCACGCCCUAAACGAUGUCUACUAGUUGUUGGUGGAGUAAAAUCCAUGAGUAAACGCAGCUAAACGCGUGAAGUAGACCGCCUGGGGAGUACGGUCGCAAGAUUAAAACUCAAAGGAAUUGACGGGGGCCCGGCACAAGCGGUGGAUUGUGUGGAUUAAAUUCGAUGCAACGCGAAAAACCUUAACCUGGCCUUGACAUGCCACUAACGAAGCAGAGAUGCAUUAGGUGCCCGUAAGGGAAAGUGGACACAGGUGCUGCAUGGCUGUCGUCAGCUCGUGUCGUGAGAUGUUGGGUUAAGUCCCGCAACGAGCGCAACCCUUGCCAUUAAUUGCCAUCAUUUAGUUGGGCACUUUAAUGGGACUGCCGGUGACAAACCGGAGGAAGGUGGGGAUGACGUCAAGUCCUCAUGGCCCUUAUGGCCA